RNAcentral lists this ribosomal RNA (332 nucleotides) under uncultured bacterium. RNAcentral describes it as "bacterial SSU rRNA". It matches the Rfam family "Bacterial small subunit ribosomal RNA", at positions 568 to 898 of the family's 1533-position model. The record is from RNAcentral.
GGCGCAGGCGGCCUGGUAAGUCGAAUGUGAAAUCUCCCGGCUUAACUGGGAGGGGUCAUUCGAUACUAUCAAGCUGGAGUGCGACAGGGGGAGGUAGAAUUCCCGGUGUAGUGGUGAAAUGCGUAGAUAUCGGGAGGAAUACCAGUGGCGAAGGCGGCCUCCUGGGUCGUUACUGACGCUUAAGCCCGAAAGCGUGGGGAGCAAACAGGAUCAGAUACCCUGGUAGUCCACGCUGCAAACUAUGGACACUGGGUAUGGGGAGUAUCGACCCUCUCCGUGCCGAAGUUAACGCGUUAAGUGUCCCGUCUGGGAACUACGGCCGCAAGGCUAAA